AGCGCCUCUAAUUUUUGAUGUAGAAAAAAUGGCUUCUUCAUGUUUUUUGUUUGAAUAAAUUUUGACUUAGCUCGAUGUUUCCUACAGUACGAUAGACUCUACGUAGAGAACGAGAUUUUCCUUUAUAAUGAGGUUGAAGGUAAAGUGGAGAGAAUGUUGAUAGGGAAAGGAAAUGUGGAAAGAGGAGAUGGGAAAGAGUACACCCCUACACCAAGAGAUCGAGUGAGUAGCCGGAACAUAAGUCGAUCAGAGGACAUAGAUGUUGAACUCAGAAAAGACGGAAAAAAG
Eurytemora carolleeae is the source of this 288-nucleotide long non-coding RNA. RefSeq lists it as uncharacterized. The transcript has 3 exons. The record is from RefSeq and is a predicted model, not a curated record. NCBI's taxonomy places the organism in Eukaryota, Metazoa, Arthropoda, Copepoda, Calanoida, Temoridae.